AUAUAUAUAUAUGUGUAUAUAUAUAUAUAUAUGUAUAUAUAUAUAUAUACAUAUAUAUAUACAUAUAUAUAUAUAUAUACACACAUAUAUAUAUAUAUAUACAUAUAUA
Molecule: microRNA precursor, 109 nt
Filed under: Myotis lucifugus (little brown bat)
Lineage: Eukaryota; Metazoa; Chordata; Mammalia; Chiroptera; Vespertilionidae
Description: miRNA (ENSMLUG00000023404.1)
Source: RNAcentral